GACGAACGCUGGCGGCGUGCUUAACACAUGCAAGUCGAACGGAAAGGCCCUGCUUUUGUGGGGUGCUCGAGUGGCGAACGGGUGAGUAACACGUGAGUAACCUGCCCUUGACUUUGGGAUAACUUCAGGAAACUGGGGCUAAUACCGGAUAGGAGCUCCUGCUGCAUGGUGGGGGUUGGAAAGUUUCGGCGGUUGGGGAUGGACUCGCGGCUUAUCAGCUUGUUGGUGGGGUAGUGGUUUACCAAGGCUUUGACGGGUAGCCGGCCUGAGAGGGUGACCGGCCACAUUGGGACUGAGAUACGGCCCAGACUCCUACGGGAGGCAGCAGUGGGGAGUAUUGCACAAUGGGCGGAAGCCUGAUGCAGCAACGCCGCGUGCGGGAUGACGGCCUUCGGGUUGUAAACCGCUUUCGCCUGUGACGAAGCGUGAGUGACGGUAAUGGGUAAAGAAGCACCGGCUAACUACGUG
This 468-nucleotide ribosomal RNA is filed under the name uncultured bacterium. RNAcentral describes it as "partial 16S ribosomal RNA". It matches the Rfam family "Bacterial small subunit ribosomal RNA", at positions 28 to 507 of the family's 1533-position model. The record is from RNAcentral.